UUACGGGAGGCAGCAGUGGGGAAUUGUUCGCAAUGGGCGCAAGCCUGACGACGCAACGCCGCGUGGAGGACGAAGAUCUUCGGGUCGUAAACUCCUUUCGAUCGGGAAGAACGGCUGCCGGGUGAAUAUCCUGGCAGAGUGACGGUACCGAGAGAAGAAGCCCCGGCUAACUCCGUGCCAGCAGCCGCGGUAAUACGGGGGGGGCAAGCGUUGUUCGGAAUUACUGGGCGUAAAGGGCUCGUAGGCGGCCAACUAAGUCCGACGUGAAAUCCCCAGGCUUAACCUGGGAACUGCGUCGGAUACUGGAUGGCUUGAAUUCGGGAGAGGGAUGCAGAAUUCCAGGUGUAGCGGUGAAAUGCGUAGAUAUCUGGAGGAAUACCGGUGGCGAAGGCGGCAUCCUGGACCGAGAUUGACGCUGAUGAGCGAAAGCUAGGGGAGCAAACGGGAUUAGAUACCCUGGUAGC
RNAcentral lists this ribosomal RNA (464 nucleotides) under uncultured bacterium. RNAcentral's name for it is "bacterial SSU rRNA". It matches the Rfam family "Bacterial small subunit ribosomal RNA", at positions 339 to 794 of the family's 1533-position model. The record is from RNAcentral.